GGUUAAGCGACUAAGCGUACACGGUGGAUGCCCUGGCAGUCAGAGGCGAUGAAGGGCGUGCUAAUCUGCGAUAAGCGCCGGUAAGGUGAUAUGAACCGUUAUAACCGGCGAUACCCGAAUGGGGAAACCCAGUGUGACUCGUCACACUAUCAUUAACUGAAUCCAUAGGUUAAUGAGGCGAACCGGGGGAACUGAAACAUCUAAGUACCCCGAGGAAAAGAAAUCAACCGAGAUUCCCCCAGUAGCGGCGAGCGAACGGGGAGGAGCCCAGAGCCUGAAUCAGCAUGUGUGUUAGUGGAAGCGUCUGGAAAGGCGCGCGAUACAGGGUGACAGCCCCGUACACAAAAGCGCAUGUGCUGUGAGCUCGAUGAGUAGGGCGGGACACGUGGUAUCCUGUCUGAAUAUGGGGGGACCAUCCUCCAAGGCUAAAUACUCCUGACUGACCGAUAGUGAACCAGUACCGUGAGGGAAAGGCGAAAAGAACCCCGGCGAGGGGAGUGAAAAAGAACCUGAAACCGUGUACGUACAAGCAGUGGGAGCACCCUUCGGGGUGUGACUGCGUACCUUUUGUAUAAUGGGUCAGCGACUUAUAUUCUGUAGCAAGGUUAACCGAAUAGGGGAGCCGGAGGGAAACCGAGUCUUAAUUGGGCGUUAAGUUGCAGGGUAUAGACCCGAAACCCGGUGAUCUAGCCAUGGGCAGGUUGAAGGUUGGGUAACACUAACUGGAGGACCGAACCGACUAAUGUUGAAAAAUUAGCGGAUGACCUGUGGCUGGGGGUGAAAGGCCAAUCAAACCGGGAGAUAGCUGGUUCUCCCCGAAAGCUAUUUAGGUAGCGCCUCGUGAAUUCAUCUCCGGGGGUAGAGCACUGUUUCGGCUAGGGGGCCAUCCCGGCUUACCAACCCGAUGCAAACUGCGAAUACCGGAGAAUGUUAUCACGGGAGACACACGGCGGGUGCUAACGUCCGUCGUGAAGAGGGAAACAACCCAGACCGCCAGCUAAGGUCCCAAAGUCAUGGUUAAGUGGGAAACGAUGUGGGAAGGCCCAGACAGCCAGGAUGUUGGCUUAGAAGCAGCCAUCAUUUAAAGAAAGCGUAAUAGCUCACUGGUCGAGUCGGCCUGCGCGGAAGAUGUAACGGGGCUAAACCAUGCACCGAAGCUGCGGCAGCGACGUUUAUGCGUUGUUGGGUAGGGGAGCGUUCUGUAAGCCUGCGAAGGUGGCCUGUGAGGGUUGCUGGAGGUAUCAGAAGUGCGAAUGCUGACAUAAGUAACGAUAAAGCGGGUGAAAAGCCCGCUCGCCGGAAGACCAAGGGUUCCUGUCCAACGUUAAUCGGGGCAGGGUGAGUCGACCCCUAAGGCGAGGCCGAAAGGCGUAGUCGAUGGGAAACGGGUUAAUAUUCCCGUACUUGGUGUUACUGCGAAGGGGGGACGGAGAAGGCUAUGUUGGCCGGGCGACGGUUGUCCCGGUUUAAGCGUGUAGGUGUGUGUUCCAGGUAAAUCCGGUUCACUUUAACACUGAGGCGUGAUGACGAGGCACUACGGUGCUGAAGCAACAAAUGCCCUGCUUCCAGGAAAAGCCUCUAAGCAUCAGGUAACACGAAAUCGUACCCCAAACCGACACAGGUGGUCAGGUAGAGAAUACCAAGGCGCUUGAGAGAACUCGGGUGAAGGAACUAGGCAAAAUGGUGCCGUAACUUCGGGAGAAGGCACGCUGACACGUAGGUGAAGUGAUUUACUCAUGGAGCUGAAGUCAGUCGAAGAUACCAGCUGGCUGCAACUGUUUAUUAAAAACACAGCACUGUGCAAACACGAAAGUGGACGUAUACGGUGUGACGCCUGCCCGGUGCCGGAAGGUUAAUUGAUGGGGUCAGCGCAAGCGAAGCUCCUGAUCGAAGCCCCGGUAAACGGCGGCCGUAACUAUAACGGUCCUAAGGUAGCGAAAUUCCUUGUCGGGUAAGUUCCGACCUGCACGAAUGGCGUAAUGAUGGCCAGGCUGUCUCCACCCGAGACUCAGUGAAAUUGAACUCGCUGUGAAGAUGCAGUGUACCCGCGGCAAGACGGAAAGACCCCGUGAACCUUUACUAUAGCUUGACACUGAACAUUGAGCCUUGAUGUGUAGGAUAGGUGGGAGGCUUUGAAGUGUGGACGCCAGUCUGCAUGGAGCCGACCUUGAAAUACCACCCUUUAAUGUUUGAUGUUCUAACGUGGACCCGUAAUCCGGGUUGCGGACAGUGUCUGGUGGGUAGUUUGACUGGGGCGGUCUCCUCCUAAAGAGUAACGGAGGAGCACGAAGGUUGGCUAAUCCUGGUCGGACAUCAGGAGGUUAGUGCAAUGGCAUAAGCCAGCUUGACUGCGAGCGUGACGGCGCGAGCAGGUGCGAAAGCAGGUCAUAGUGAUCCGGUGGUUCUGAAUGGAAGGGCCAUCGCUCAACGGAUAAAAGGUACUCCGGGGAUAACAGGCUGAUACCGCCCAAGAGUUCAUAUCGACGGCGGUGUUUGGCACCUCGAUGUCGGCUCAUCACAUCCUGGGGCUGAAGUAGGUCCCAAGGGUAUGGCUGUUCGCCAUUUAAAGUGGUACGCGAGCUGGGUUUAGAACGUCGUGAGACAGUUCGGUCCCUAUCUGCCGUGGGCGCUGGAGAACUGAGGGGGGCUGCUCCUAGUACGAGAGGACCGGAGUGGACGCAUCACUGGUGUUCGGGUUGUCAUGCCAAUGGCACUGCCCGGUAGCUAAAUGCGGAAGAGAUAAGUGCUGAAAGCAUCUAAGCACGAAACUUGCCCCGAGAUGAGUUCUCCCUGAGACUUAGAGUCUCCUGAAGGAACGUUGAAGACGACGACGUUGAUAGGCCGGGUGUGUAAGCGCAGCGAUGCGUUGAGCUAACCGGUACUAAUGAACCGUGAGGCUUAACCUU
Molecule: ribosomal RNA, 2906 nt
Filed under: Salmonella enterica subsp. enterica serovar Bovismorbificans str. Sal610
Lineage: Bacteria; Pseudomonadati; Pseudomonadota; Gammaproteobacteria; Enterobacterales; Enterobacteriaceae
Description: 23S ribosomal RNA
Rfam family: Bacterial large subunit ribosomal RNA
Source: RNAcentral